CUGGCAUCUAAGACAGCAGGAGCUCCCUGCCAGGGAGAGAAGCUCUUGGAGCAUGAUGCAAGAAGCCUGACUGCAGUAAGCUGCCGGUUCUGCAUCAGCAAAGUCAAAGGAAGAAGGAGACCCAAGGAACUCCUUCUGUUUUCACAUUUUGAGCAGCUUAGACAUUGUGAUCCUUCCAUGUCAUAAUGGGCUGAUGCAGUGUCAAGUGGAAGAGGUCUCUGUUGCAGUGUUGUGGCUUCAAACUCUGAAGACA
Long non-coding RNA from Alligator sinensis (Chinese alligator), 253 nucleotides. RefSeq lists it as uncharacterized. Lineage: Eukaryota; Metazoa; Chordata; Crocodylia; Alligatoridae. The transcript has 3 exons. The record is from RefSeq and is a predicted model, not a curated record.